AUGGACAAGGUGCUGGCCUUCUCCAUCCUAAGCACGUCGCCGGCGCCGGGGGCGACGUCGGCUACAGCAGGGCAAGAUAGGAAGCAGGGCGGUCUGCCGGCUGAGGCGGAGCGGCAGCCGGACAAGGGGAAAUCACAGUCGCCGCCAACGCUGCGGCCGCGGUUCGCGCCGGAGUUCGAUGGGAUCGACUGCUUCGAGACCAUCGUGUGCCACUGA
This 216-nucleotide ribosomal RNA is filed under the name Triticum aestivum (bread wheat). Its description in RNAcentral is "partial small subunit ribosomal RNA". Lineage: Eukaryota; Viridiplantae; Streptophyta; Magnoliopsida; Poales; Poaceae. The record is from RNAcentral.